AGUUAGUGGCGGACGGGUGAGUAACGCGUGGGUAACCUGCCUUGUACUGGGGGACAACAGUUGGAAACGACUGCUAAUACCGCAUAAGCCCACGGAUCCGCAUGGAUCUGCGGGAAAAGGAUUUAUUUGCUUCAGGAUGGACUCGCGUCCAAUUAGCUAGUUGGUGAGGUAACGGCCCACCAAGGCGACGAUUGGUAGCCGGACUGAGAGGUUGAACGGCCACAUUGGGACUGAGACACGGCCCAGACUCCUACGGGAGGCAGCAUG
This 267-nucleotide ribosomal RNA is filed under the name uncultured bacterium. RNAcentral describes it as "partial 16S ribosomal RNA". It matches the Rfam family "Bacterial small subunit ribosomal RNA", at positions 90 to 353 of the family's 1533-position model. The record is from RNAcentral.